This is a long non-coding RNA of Juglans microcarpa x Juglans regia, 2085 nucleotides long. RefSeq lists it as uncharacterized. Lineage: Eukaryota; Viridiplantae; Streptophyta; Magnoliopsida; Fagales; Juglandaceae. The record is from RefSeq and is a predicted model, not a curated record. The transcript has 3 exons.
CUCGACUUCCUAACACAGAUUCGUUUUCCUUCCUUUAUCAUUCAAAGGUUCAUCCCCCCACAUCUGUUAUCGAAUAUAGAAUCCUACGAGAGACAGCUUGAAGGAAGACAACCAUAGUUUCAGCCAUGAUAGAAAUCCAACCAAACCUGUUACAAGCUUCUUACGCCGUCCUUUGGAUUCUACUGGGAAGCGCUGCAACAUCAAGAAGAGUCUGCCAGAAGAUGACAGUUGGAGAUGUCAGAAGAUCGAACAAAACUUAAGCAUUCAGAAAACACAGCAGGAUGCCAACAAUUUUGAAAGUAGGGGAAUCGUUCCAAACAACAUAAUCAACGUAAAGGUAUUAUGUCACAAUUUCUAACACAAAUUGUAGAAUAAGCCAAAGGAAAUUAAUAUCUUAUAUAAAUUCUGCCUCUUCACACCAAAAGCCCAUGCUUACCACCACAGCAAUCAAAAUUUCGGCCACACCUUCACCCAAUAGUCAGACCAACUACAGGGUGCACAUUUCAGAAUGAUGUCUACAACAGUGGCCAAUGGAAUUGACAGAGAGAGAGAGAGAGAGAGAGAGAGAGAGAGAGAGAUUUAUUCUUAAUAUUAAUAUUACUAGUUUUUUAUGCAAAAGAAUGAGGCUCCACAUCCACAAAUAAAGAGCCUUUGCAGAAUUGAAGAACGGCAAGGAGUAAGGCAGCUAUGGGAUGGCUGAUCAGAUGACCCACCAAAAACAAACUGCUUAUUAAUCCUUGAGCAACAAAGCAGUGGAGUUUGAAGUAUUCAGCUGUUUUCCAAGGACCAUUGGAUAUGGGAUUUUGUCUUUCACCCAUUUAAUAAAAAAUAUCUUUCUAAUUUAUAAUAUAUAAAUGUCAUUUUCAAAAAUUUGUCUUUCAUUUUUUUUAAGUAAAAAUUUUAUGGAUAGCCAACUAGGCAAAAGCCCAGUACAUAGAACAUAUACAAGAGGAGGCACCUAGUUAGGAAGAAGGGGAUUUUUGUUUUUGAUUGGUACCGGGUGUCUAAGAACAAAGUCCCGCCUAAUCCGGGGGCGCAUUGUCCCUCCUAAUUCAAGGAGAAGUUCUCCCCUUCCGAUGACCCCUAGAAAUUAUUUGCACCCAAAAGGAUUUGAAUCUUAGACCUGGAGGGAGCAUACCACCAAGACCAAGGCCUUUACCACCUGAGCCAACCCCUAGGGGUUAGGAAGAAGGGGAAUGAAUACACUACAAAAAUAAUAGUAUUUUCCUCAGGGUCUUUUCCCUUAAUUAGGCUUCAGACAUUAGGGUCUUUUCCUCCUUCAGAUCUGACUGCCUCCCCCUUCAUACCCGAGAGUUCAGCCUCCAGCAUCUAUCUCAGGCUAUUAGUUUAUUCUCCUCCACACAGGUACCGAGAUCAAAUUUAUGAAACUUUUGAAACAACUUUUGAAGAAAGGUUUUUAUGGGAUUUUUUGAAAGUGAUGGAACCCGUUAAAAAUGUGUUUGGAUUGAGAAAGCUUUUUAAAGAUUUUUUUAUUGGGGUCUGAAAACAUGGUGAGAUCCAUUGAAAAUGUUUUUGAGGAGUUUUUUGUGAGAGAAUUUUUUGAGUUAAGUGAGAUUAUUUUGGUGUAAAGAUGUCUAGAUAAAAACUAAGAAGAUUUUCUCACAAACCACUUUUUGCCAAACAUCGUAAAGAUUCAACUUGUUACAAAGUUUUCCAUUUCCCUCAACCCACAAAAGAAAGUAUCAAACUUUAUUUUCUACCAACCCAUAGGCAGCUAACUACUAAACUUACUUUCCAACGAUACACCGACCCAGAAUAUAGUAAUGUAAAUAUUGAGCCAAAAUUUUUCUAUUUACUUGAGUUGCAACUAUUGCAUUUUUCAAUAAAGGAUGAAUUAUUAUUUUAAAAAUUCAAGUUAAGCUUUCACAUGAUUGGGGUCAUAAAUUAGAUAAUAGUGCAUAAGUAGAUUGGCUUAGAAGUUCAAAUUUCAAUCAUUUGUCAAUUUGAAAUUUUUUUUUUUUUAUAAGUAAAAAAUAUUAUAUAUCAAAGGAGAAACCAAGUACACAAAAUGUAUACAAGAAAACACUUUGCCCAAAAAGCCCCUAAUGACUCAAAAAGCCCGUG